RNAcentral lists this long non-coding RNA (228 nucleotides) under Musa acuminata (dwarf banana). RNAcentral's name for it is "long non-coding RNA (MACU_LNC008760)". The record is from RNAcentral. Lineage: Eukaryota; Viridiplantae; Streptophyta; Magnoliopsida; Zingiberales; Musaceae.
AGUGAUUUGCUAUGAGUGCAAAAAACUGGGACACUACAAGAACGAUUGUCCUCAAGCCAAAAAGAGAACAUCAAAGAAGAAGGCGCUCAAGGCAACGUAGGAUGAUUCAAGCGCGUCCGAAGAAGAGGAGUCCAACACCGAGCAAGUUGCUCAUUACACCCUAAUGGCCAUCGGAGAAGAGGUAACAGAUUUAAUUGAUGCAGAUUUACCUUAUCAUGAAUUAUUAAA